RNAcentral lists this ribosomal RNA (329 nucleotides) under uncultured bacterium. RNAcentral describes it as "bacterial SSU rRNA". It matches the Rfam family "Bacterial small subunit ribosomal RNA", at positions 63 to 388 of the family's 1533-position model. The record is from RNAcentral.
CGAACGGUAACAGGAAGAAGCUUGCUUCUUUGCUGACGAGUGGCGGACGGGUGAGUAAUGUCUGGGAAACUGCCUGAUGGAGGGGGAUAACUACUGGAAACGGUAGCUAAUACCGCAUAACGUCGCAAGACCAAAGAGGGGGACCUUCGGGCCUCUUGCCAUCGGAUGUGCCCAGAUGGGAUUAGCUAGUAGGUGGGGUAACGGCUCACCUAGGCGACGAUCCCUAGCUGGUCUGAGAGGAUGACCAGCCACACUGGAACUGAGACACGGUCCAGACUCCUACGGGAGGCAGCAGUGGGGAAUAUUGCACAAUGGGCGCAAGCCUGAUG